AGUCGGUAUACACAUAAAUGUAAAUUAUCUUUUAUGAAAACUAAACUUUGCGGAUAGCACCGCAAUAUUAUAAGAACACGCGCGCACGGUGCACUUACAAUCAGAAUCUUAAACGAGUAAAGAAGUUUAAAUUGAAAUUUAAAAUUCGGAGUGGAAACGCUACGAAAAUUCGACCGCAUAUCGAAAAAGACGACAGUACACUAUUAAAUUACGAUAUU
Cinara cedri is the source of this 218-nucleotide non-coding RNA. Lineage: Eukaryota; Metazoa; Arthropoda; Insecta; Hemiptera; Aphididae. The record is from the annotation of a GenBank genome assembly.